Long non-coding RNA from Vidua macroura (Pin-tailed whydah), 381 nucleotides. RefSeq lists it as uncharacterized. The record is from RefSeq and is a predicted model, not a curated record. NCBI's taxonomy places the organism in Eukaryota, Metazoa, Chordata, Aves, Passeriformes, Viduidae. The transcript has 3 exons.
GGCAUCCAUUGUGUGAGGAUCCUUCAGAUUUCACUCCUGGAAAGCAAAAAGUGAUGGCUGACAACAAAUCAGUCUCCAGACUCUGGUUAUGACAACCAUACAGAAUGCUGAAAACAAGUGUAACGUUAUCUACCAGGAAACAACACCCCUGUCUUAGGAAUCUUCCACUUCACAGAGGUCAGGGUUAGGCUGGGUAAGGAGCAGCUGCCACCGACACUGGUACCCAGCAGCUCAAGGGGAGGGUUGGACCAGGAUAACAGGAACAGGUGGUUAUUUCUGGAGGACUGAAAAUAAAGUCAACUCUCCCUGUAAAACUCCAGCUGACGUUCUGUAAAGCACUUAUGGAAAUCUGAACAGGUUUUAGUCCCCUUCAUAAGAGAA